This 70-nucleotide transfer RNA is filed under the name Gonodactylus chiragra. RNAcentral describes it as "tRNA-Phe". Lineage: Eukaryota; Metazoa; Arthropoda; Malacostraca; Stomatopoda; Gonodactylidae. The record is from RNAcentral.
AUUUACAUAGAUUAUAAGAUGAGAUCGCAACACUGAAGAUGUUGAAGAGGUUGUUUAAAACCUGUGAAUA